GAAAUGCGAUAAGUAAUGCGAAUUGCAGAACUCAGUGAAUCAUCAAAUCUUUGAACGCAUCUUGCGCCCACUGGUAUUCCGGGGGGCACACCUGUUCGAGCGCCAUUUCAACCCUCAAGCCCCGCUUGGUGAUGGGCCCCGUCCGCGGGCGGGCCCGAAACUCGCAGGCGCCACCACCCGGCCUCAAGCGUAGCAAAACCCUCGCUUGGGCGCCCGGGCGGCGGCUGCCCCGAACGAAUUUUCACAAGGUUGGCCUCGGAUCAGGUGGGGAUACCCGCUGAACUUAA
RNAcentral lists this unclassified non-coding RNA (287 nucleotides) under uncultured Sympodiella. Its description in RNAcentral is "sequence contains ITS1". The stretch from base 1 to 105 matches the Rfam family "5.8S ribosomal RNA", at positions 50 to 154 of the family's 154-position model. Lineage: Eukaryota; Fungi; Ascomycota. The record is from RNAcentral.